This 407-nucleotide ribosomal RNA is filed under the name bacterium enrichment culture clone ALO1_GLFRUDD03GOCPE. Its description in RNAcentral is "bacterial SSU rRNA". It matches the Rfam family "Bacterial small subunit ribosomal RNA", at positions 9 to 416 of the family's 1533-position model. The record is from RNAcentral.
GAGUUUGAUCUUGGCUCAGAUUGAACGCUGGCGGCAUGCCUUACACAUGCAAGUCGAACGGCAGCACGGGAGCUUGCUCCUGGUGGCGAGUGGCGAACGGGUGAGUAAUGCAUCGGAACGUAUCCUGGAGUGGGGGAUAACGUAGCGAAAGUUACGCUAAUACCGCAUAUUCUGUGAGCAGGAAAGCGGGGGACCUUCGGGCCUCGCGCUCUUGGAGCGGCCGAUGUCGGAUUAGCUAGUUGGUGAGGUAAAGGCUCACCAAGGCGACGAUCCGUAGCAGGUCUGAGAGGAUGAUCUGCCACACUGGAAAUGAGACACGGUCCAGACUCCUACGGGAGGCAGCAGUGGGGAAUUUUGGACAAUGGGGGCAACCCUGAUCCAGCCAUGCCGCGUGAGUGAAGAAGGCC